GAGGGUACAGCUCAGUGGUAGAGCACGUGCUUAGCAUGCACAGGAUCCUGGGUUCUAUCUCCAGUGCCUCCA
Molecule: transfer RNA, 72 nt
Filed under: Camelus bactrianus (Bactrian camel)
Lineage: Eukaryota; Metazoa; Chordata; Mammalia; Artiodactyla; Camelidae
Also listed under: 2 other names
Rfam family: tRNA
About the family: Transfer RNA (tRNA) molecules are approximately 80 nucleotides in length. Their secondary structure includes four short double-helical elements and three loops (D, anti-codon, and T loops).
Source: Rfam by way of RNAcentral